RNAcentral lists this ribosomal RNA (269 nucleotides) under uncultured prokaryote. Its description in RNAcentral is "partial 16S ribosomal RNA". It matches the Rfam family "Bacterial small subunit ribosomal RNA", at positions 524 to 792 of the family's 1533-position model. The record is from RNAcentral.
GACGAACCGUACAAACGUUACUCGGAAUUACUGGGCUUAAAGGGUGCGUAGGCUGCGCAGAAAGUUGGGUGUGAAAGCCCUCGGCUCAACCGGGGAAUUGCAUCCAAAACUACUGUGCUCGAGGGAGACAGAGGUGAGCGGAACUCAAGGUGGAGCGGUGAAAUGCGUUGAUAUCUUGAGGAACACCGGUGGCGAAAGCGGCUCACUGGGAUCUUUCUGACGCUGAGGCACGAAAGCUAGGGGAGCGAACGGGAUUAGAUACCCGCGUA